Molecule: ribosomal RNA, 468 nt
Filed under: Triticum aestivum (bread wheat)
Lineage: Eukaryota; Viridiplantae; Streptophyta; Magnoliopsida; Poales; Poaceae
Description: partial small subunit ribosomal RNA
Source: RNAcentral
AUGAAUUGCCUCAGCUGGAACUGCCGUGGCGGGAACUCAGCUGCAGUUCGAGAGCUUCGCAACAUCAUGAAGCAGGAAGGGCCCGAUCUCCUCUUUCUGAUGGAGACAAAAAUUUCGGCAAAACGAGUUGACAAUUUGAAAACCACCCUCGGUUUCGCAGGCUGUUUCGCUGUGAAUAGUGAGGGAUUGAGUGGAGGAGUUGCACUAUUCUGGUCAGUCGAUGUCAAGGUUGAGCUUAAGAAUUAUAGUUCUGGCCAUAUCAAUGUUAUGGUGCAGAAAAGUGAUCCAAAUUCUAGCCUGUGGAGAUUCACGGGAUUCUAUGGAGCCCCUAUAGCAGCAGAUCGACACCAUAGUUGGCGAUUUCUGUGUAUGCUGAAGGCGUUGCCACACGCGCCUUGGCUAUGUGUGGGCGAUUUCAAUGAGACACUUUUUGCCUCGGAACACUUCUCGCGAGCUGCUCAGCCGUAG